Molecule: long non-coding RNA, 388 nt
Filed under: Homo sapiens (human)
Lineage: Eukaryota; Metazoa; Chordata; Mammalia; Primates; Hominidae
Description: HSALNT0329906
Source: RNAcentral
CAGCAAUGAAUAAAACUAUUGCCCUCGUGGGGCUUAUAUUCCAGUGGGGAGGACCUCUCCACCCACUGUGUGAAGAACAAACAGUAAGGGCACAAGGGUAGAAGUGGGAAGACUAGUUAGGAAGCCAUUGCAGUAACACAGGGAAGAGAUGAUAAUAGCUCGGACCAGGGUAGAGUCUAUGGAAGUGAUGAGGAAACUGAGGCUGUCUGAGGUUCAGCGAAUCCCCCAGGGUCACAAUGUGGUACUGGGAUGCUGAACAAAUAAUUGCUGAAUUGAACUGAUAGCACUGGCAUUACCCUGUGCCUGCUUUCUCCGUGUCCACCGAUCUCAGCACAAAGCCUGGCGCAGAGUGGGUGUGCACUCACCAAGCGAGCAAAACCCAGUCCAG